RNAcentral lists this ribosomal RNA (810 nucleotides) under uncultured bacterium. RNAcentral's name for it is "bacterial SSU rRNA". It matches the Rfam family "Bacterial small subunit ribosomal RNA", at positions 52 to 893 of the family's 1533-position model. The record is from RNAcentral.
CACAUGCAAGUCGCACGAGAAAGCGGGAGCAAUCUCGCAAGUACAGUGGCGUACGGGUGAGUAACACGUGGAUGAUCUACCUUUUAGUGGGGAAUAACGCUGGGAAACCGGCGCUAAUACCGCAUAAGCUCGAGAGAGGAAAGCAGCAAUGCGCUGAAAGAGGAGUCCGCGGCCGAUUAGCUAGUUGGGAGGGUAAAAGCCUACCAAGGCAUAGAUCGGUAGCCGGCCUGAGAGGGCACACGGCCACACUGGCACUGAAACACGGGCCAGACUCCUACGGGAGGCAGCAGUGGGGAAUCUUGCACAAUGGGGGCAACCCUGAUGCAGCGACGCCGCGUGAGCGAUGAAGCCCUUCGGGGUGUAAAGCUCUUUCGUCAGGGACGAUAAUGACGGUACCUGGAGAAGCAGCUGCGGCUAACUACGUGCCAGCAGCCGCGGUAAUACGUAGGCAGCGAGCGUUGUUCGGAGUUACUGGGCGUAAAGGGUGUGUAGGCGGUUUUCUAAGUUUGGUGUGAAAUCUCCCGGCUCAACCGGGAGGGUGCGCCGAAAACUGGGAGACUAGAGUGCGGGAUGGGAGAGUAGAAUUCCUGGUGUAGCGGUGAAAUGCGUAGAUAUCAGGAGGAAUACCGGUGGUGUAGACGGCUCUCUGGACCGCCACUGACGCUGAGACACGAAAGCGUGGGUAGCAAACAGGAUUAGAUACCCUGGUAGUCCACGCCCUAAACGAUGCAUAUUUGGUGUAGGUCAUUCAGUUGAUCUGUGCCGGAGCUAACGCGUUAAAUAUGCCGCCUGGGGAGUACAGUCGCAAGG